AAAUCAAAGAUAAUGCCGAUGUGGGUUGGCUUGUGGAUUUUGUCGCUUCCGAGAUUUGAAGAAAUUUUUUUGCUGAUAUCACUAUCAGCUGCUCGUACUCAAAACGGGUGUUCCCUAACUGAAAUCAGAUGUUGCGCGCGAAAUUUGGAAAAUGAUGAAACCCAUAAGCCAAGCCAUAUCAGCCUUAUGUUUCCUCUUUAAAUACCUCGUAAGUUUCUUAUGAAAGUUUUCUCAUACCACUUUUUAUUUUUCAAACAUUCGCCUGAGACGAUAAAAACCGAUCACUUUGUAUAACGAUUAUACAUGGACCACACGACCUGUCAAACUAUCUUCCCUGUCCUAUCUGAUCCACUACAAAAAAGAUAUAAUAACAUUCAAUGAAACUUGAUGCGGUGACAGUCCAAAUUACUCAGAGAUAAGGACAAUCUGCAACAACACACUCUGUAUAUAUUAAGUGUUUACAGUAUACGAUUCAUUUAUCAUGUAUAAAUAAUUAUGAAAUUCUUGCACUGUGCAACAAUAUUAUGACGUAUAAAUUUCUUCGACAGAUUUCGAACCUCCAAUAACCGGCUAGUGACAAUAAUUGAGGGGAUAAACGAAUUUGUAGGGACACGGGAAGAAUAGUUUCAUAAGCCGAUUCAUCGUCAGUUCGAUUUCAAUCGCUGCGUAAAAUUUCAUUAGAUGCUUGUCGUAUGUGCCGUCGGUGCUUUUCAAGAAUCGUCACGGUCAAUUCACACGCUACAAAGAAGCAUCAAGGUGCACCAGCUUGUGUGUAUGCGGAUACAUACAAUGCAUGUAGAUAUCCCCGCAUGGGGCUUUUUUCGUCCACUCAAUUAAUUCCUGAAUCGCUACGCAUGAAUAUGGAACGGAGAACCAAGGAACUAGGUGCGAAGAGACAAAGAUCGAGAACAAUCGCGGAGGGGAUUCUCGUUAUGUCCCACGAUAGAAUGAUCGAAACAUGGAGCGAAUAAAAUCGCUCGGCUGUACCCGAAAUGUGUAAUAAUCUCACGGAGACGUCGAAAAUUUGGACUAACCCCUGUCGUUCGAGCACUCUCAGUUUAAACGCACCAAGCAUAACUGCUGCACCGCACCUGGGAUGAACUGGGAAUAUAACCAACUUAUAGAAGAUUGUCGAGGGCGACUGCAUCGUCGGCGAGGAAUCACAACGCGUCUAGCCUACGACUAACUCGGUCCUGAGCUUCCGGAUGAGGGAGAAGAGUCUUUAAGGUGAAUCUUGGCCGGACCAAAGACAGCAGAAAAUCUCCGCAUAACUUGAUAGUUUAAAACCGGGCGACCUGGGCGUCGACCGCUGGUCACAGGGGAUCCGGAAGAUGAUGCCAUUCGGCAGAGCUGCUCGGCGCGUUCGACACCAGCACCGGAAACGGAACCCGCGAUCGAGGAGUGCAAUACUGGUUAAAAGCUGUGUGAAGGCCCGGUGGAACUUUCUUCGAUGUAUGAUAAUCUAGCCGAUGAAAAACUUAUAAAACUGCAGUCACUUUUCGUUAUUACGCGGUAUUCAAGCUCCUGAAAACGGUCCGAACCUACGGUAGGUUCCGCUAUCACACGCAGCUGCAUAAAUCGUCAGUACAACAGUCGAUGCGAACUUCGAACCGCACUCAGGUGGCGGCUUAAAUCGGCGACAGAUUGUUCCUAGCGCGAUUUCGGGAAUUCGAUCCCGCAGCCGAACUCGCGGUUCGAAUUUUGUACCCGAGGGUAAGACUUGGCGUAUUUCUGGCGAUUACGGUGAGAAUAGCGGGUAUCUGAAAAUUCGGUUCCGUAAUUUGUGUGCCGGCAGGUUGGCGGCAAACAAUAAGAUUCGAUCACGCACUACCAUGACGAAAUUGUACAAUUGCGGCCACACCGUAAUAAAAUACGACCGAAUCAUCGACGCAACGCACAGGCUCAAGUCCAUAGAAUACUCACGUUCUUUUCUUCCUCCCUGAUUCGCAAGGACAUGGCGAGUUGCGAUGGUGAUCGACUAGUUUGGAAUUAUUUCUGUAGGUAUAACCAACAGCAGCGGAUGCAACGAUGCCGAUUGGACCGGAAGCGAAUCGCGGACGAUCAGCGAUGACAGAAGCAAGUUUUCCAGGUGUUUAAGAUCUGUUACUGCCGCACAAGUUCCGAAUUCCAAGGACCCAUUUCCGCAUAAAGUUGCCCACCAAGCGUCAGGGUAUCGUGUAAGAUCGUUUUCCGUUUUGACAAUCAGGGACGCUGGCUCCUAGACCUCGGUCACACCAGCGAACGAGUGGGCCGUCCAUCGCUGUACGAACCUCACCUGUGUGGAGAACAUCUCGUUCCCUGCAAAGGAAACCGUGGAAAAGCCACGAAUGUCCUCCUACAGUUACGAGGGAAAACUUGUUUGUUCCCGCAAGCGACUUAUAACUAUACGAAACGCGCGUCAGUUAUUGCGAUUCAUCGGAAUUCUUACAGGUUAUUCCAUUGGUUUUCAGAAGAACAUCGCGAGUCGCUCAUUACAAUUAUUUGAGGGAUCGAAAUUUUCAACGGACCCGAGUUGAGAAUAUCCAACACUACGGGGCACGAAGCGAUGGCAGAUAAUCACUUAGAUUAGAACUCUUUUUCGGGAUUACACGCGAGUGCUGAGGACAUGUUCGAAAACCUUUCAAUGCGUCACAUUACAACGAGUACGAAUCAAAUUCUGAACCGAUCUUAAUAAACCAACAGCAUCCGACGACCCCCUGGCUGGCUUCGGGUGUAAAAAAAGACGGGCCGUUUGGAAAGGACGCGAAGUUAACAUCUACAACGUCAUCCUGUUUUCAUAACAUAGGUAUAUGCGAUAAAGUUCUAGCCCCAGCUUAUAGAUAUUAUACGAUUGAGAAUUAACCAUUAUACCACGUAUUGAAUACACAGUGUGUACAUGUAUGGUCCGUGUAUUCCUUCACUUUUUCAUACACGGCCGGUGUCGUGUAUUAUAAAUGAAUCGCCUUUAAUUGUGAAUAUUCAUCGACUCCAGAAUCAGCGCAGUGACUAUUAAUGCUGAGAAUUAGCUGUAAAAGAUUUGCGAGCGACCUGAAAAUUUACAGACCAUGAUUCCUAAAAAUUAUACAGUAGAGUCCAAUUAGAUGCGCUCGAAAGGCCAUCGCCUGUUGCAGAUUAAAUUAAUUCGUGCUAAGGCCGCGCAUUUGUUGUUUAAUUGGUAUUAACGACACACGUAUGAUUUCUUAACAGAAUAUACCUAAUCCUAUCCUCUCGAUCAUAGACCGUGCGGCAUAUUACUGUUAUACUCGAGUGAAAUUUUCCGAGUAAAUCAAUUAAAUCACGGUCCUGCGUUCAAUCAUCACAACGUAUUAUACCUGUGACGUUUGAACGGUCAUGGUCAUUGUGGAUGUAUUAUAAUG
Long non-coding RNA from Neodiprion fabricii, 3356 nucleotides. RefSeq lists it as uncharacterized. NCBI's taxonomy places the organism in Eukaryota, Metazoa, Arthropoda, Insecta, Hymenoptera, Diprionidae. The record is from RefSeq and is a predicted model, not a curated record. The transcript is spliced from 3 exons.